AUGCGCAUGCGGAUGCGCAUGCGCGGUAGCCAGUCGACCAUCUCAUCCAAUGGCGAGCUCAGUUGGCGCUGUGUGCUUCAAGAUUCCGAUUGGCCCAGAGAAAUGUCAAUUAUAAGAGAAAUGUCAAUUAUAAGAAAGAUUCUGAAGCAAGUGCUGAGAUUCCGAUUGGCCCAGAGAAAUGUCAAUUAUAAGAAUGAUCCAAUAAUUUUUCGCAAUUCUGGACCCCCCCCCCCCCUCCAAAACAAAACUCUCCGGUUCUACACGAUUCACAUGAAUGACCAAAUUGACCAAGAAAACGGCGAUUGUCGCCGAAAAGCGACAAGUUUGCAGCUUUGAAUAGUGUAAUAGAGCUUCUUAUUUCCUACAUCUUAAUCUACUGCACUGACUCCUUCAGUUCAGUGCAGGUUUUUUUCUAAUGAAAACCAACAUCUGCACCAUCUCGGCUGACAACCGGUUCCUUUCCUCAUCAAGGACAUUCUACACUGCACUAAACAGUCUCUCACUGUCCACCGAUGUACAAGGUUGUGGCUGUAUCAGCCAGUCCGGGUCGCUGUGUAGCAUGUGCCCGCCAGUAGUGUAGAGGAUUCUCUGACCUUGGGAUGGUUUGUUCAGCCAGCAUUGAGAAGAGCCAUGGAAUAAUCCAUAAUAAUGUUAGGUUUAGAAGUUAAAUAUUUGAAAGUUGUAGAAUAAAUUAAUAUAAUUUAUAUUGGGUUAAUUUGCUAGAAAUGUACUUACAAUGUCAGUUAAUCAUUUACAUAUUUAUGUCACACAAUUAUUGCUUACAUGUUUACAUAUUUAACACAGUCAGGAUAUUCUGUUGAAUCUGCCUCUCUGAUUCCCUCACGUUUACCUCAGUCUUAAUUCUAGCUUCUGAUUGCUUAGUUCAGUCACGUGAUGGGUCCGAACAAGGAAGUGUUUGAAAAUAGUUUCGCGUUAACGCCGAUAACGGCCCACCACUAAUAUAUAUAUAUAUAUACAUACACACACACACACACAUAUAUAUAUACAUAUAUAUAUGUAGUGAGUGUAACAUAAUUCACCUACAGUAUUUUGUUAUGUGUUGUUCUUUCCACUGUGUUAGGCAUGUCGUUUACUGUCUUGGUGGUUC
Molecule: long non-coding RNA, 1108 nt
Filed under: Gadus morhua (Atlantic cod)
Lineage: Eukaryota; Metazoa; Chordata; Actinopteri; Gadiformes; Gadidae
Description: lncRNA (ENSGMOG00000026127.1)
Source: RNAcentral